ACUGGGGUGGCAGAGCAUGGUUAAUUGCGAAAGGCCUAAGCCCUUUUAGCCAGGGGUUCAAAUCCUCUCCCCAGUU
This 76-nucleotide transfer RNA is filed under the name Cirrhinus molitorella (mud carp). RNAcentral's name for it is "tRNA-Leu". It matches the Rfam family "tRNA". Rfam says of the family: Transfer RNA (tRNA) molecules are approximately 80 nucleotides in length. Their secondary structure includes four short double-helical elements and three loops (D, anti-codon, and T loops). Further hydrogen bonds mediate the characteristic L-shaped molecular structure. tRNAs have two regions of fundamental functional importance: the anti-codon, which is responsible for specific mRNA codon recognition, and the 3' end, to which the tRNAs corresponding amino acid is attached (by aminoacyl-tRNA synthetases). tRNAs cope with the degeneracy of the genetic code in two manners: having more than one tRNA (with a specific anti-codon) for a particular amino acid; and 'wobble' base-pairing, i.e. permitting non-standard base-pairing at the 3rd anti-codon position. The record is from RNAcentral. Lineage: Eukaryota; Metazoa; Chordata; Actinopteri; Cypriniformes; Cyprinidae.